Molecule: unclassified non-coding RNA, 870 nt
Filed under: Hevea brasiliensis (rubber tree)
Lineage: Eukaryota; Viridiplantae; Streptophyta; Magnoliopsida; Malpighiales; Euphorbiaceae
Source: RNAcentral
UGAUUUUCAAUUCCAGUACCUCCUAAUCCAUCUUUUGAAUCUGUAAAAAAUUCAAUCUCUUGACUCCAAAAUGAUAAAGAGCUUCAUUAACAAUUGAUUUUCAAGGAAUUUAUAAAUAUUGACACUUUUUUUGCAUGAUAAAAACUAAUCAUGCAAUCUGCAAUCACCUUCAACCAUUAAGCUGCUGUUGGGUUCUGGGUUGAUGGUGUGAGGGAGAUGGACCUCUCCCUUACUCCAGUCUCGUAUCCCCACAUUUCUUGCAAUACCCGGAGUAACUCCCAAGCUCAACACAUUUGCAUAAAGACCCAUUCUUGGUUCCCAUGCCCACCUGCUACAUUACACCUGCGCGACGCUCCACCUUCGAGUCCUUUUUCCUCCAGGCAUCUUUAGAUCUCCAACGCCACUCACAGAAGCUUAUUGUGCUUCAAUGCCCAUAACAUGGCCAGUAAAUCUCCAACACGAGACCUCAGCAGUACUCAUGCCCAUCACAUACCCACUGCCACAUGAAAAUCAACACAGUCACUCUCACCUUUGUAAAAAAACCCCCGUCCUCAGCAUCAUCAACAAUUGCAUGUGAUUGUGGGAGUCGAUGUGUAGGAAAAGACCUUUGAGUUGUUGGAGAGGCAAGGGAGGAGAGAAGCAACUAGGGGAACUAGAAGAGGAACUACAGUGAAGCCUUAUGGAACAGGGGAAAUAGAUAUACUGGUUGUGCUAUUGAGUAAUGGGUAUUAAUUUUCUGAGUUGGGUAUGAGUUAAGAGUGCGAACAAGAAGACGAAGAAGGAGCAGACAUCGAUUUUGGGUUAGGGAUUCCUUAGGUUUGGAGAUUUUGGGGAUUAUUGGGAUUAGGAAAUUAUUAUAUUUGAAUUCAA